RNAcentral lists this ribosomal RNA (541 nucleotides) under uncultured bacterium. Its description in RNAcentral is "bacterial SSU rRNA". It matches the Rfam family "Bacterial small subunit ribosomal RNA", at positions 777 to 1314 of the family's 1533-position model. The record is from RNAcentral.
AAUAGAUACCCUGGUAGUCCACGCCGCAAACGAUGAGUGCUAGGUGUUAGGGGGGGUCCAACCCCUUAGUGCUGAAGUUAACACAUUAAGCACUCCGCCUGGGGAGUACGACCGCAAGGUUGAAACUCAAAGGAAUUGACGGGGGCCCGCACAAGCAGUGGAGCACGUGGUUUAAUUCGAAGCAACGCGAAGAACCUUACCAGGUCUUGACAUCCUCUGACAACCCUAGAGAUAGGGCGUUCCCCUUCGGGGGACAGAGUGACAGGUGGUGCAUGGUUGUCGUCAGCUCGCGUCGUGAGGUGUUGGGUUAAGUCCCGCAACGAGCGCAACCCUUGAUCUUAGUUGCCAGCAUUCAGUUGGGCACUCUAAGGUGACUGCCGGUGACAAACCGGAGGAAGGUGGGGAUGACGUCAAAUCAUCAUGCCCCUUAUGACCUGGGCUACACACGUGCUACAAUGGAUGGUACAAAGGGCUGCGAAACCGCGAGGUUUAGCCAAUCCCAUAAAAACCAUUCUCAGUUCGGAUUGCAGGCUGCAACUCG